GCCGUUGAUCCCCUAAAUUUAUGCCAAUAUUUCAAAAAAGAGACAAGAAGCCUAUUGGUCAUUUCUAUAUGGAGUUUUGGCUUGUUGACUGUACUGUUACAUAUGAUUGUCACAUCUGCUGUUUUUGAAGGGUUGUUGUAUCCAUCAUACCUAUAUAUCCUAAUUUUCAGAAGGUGCCGAUAUCAAUCCUUUUAAGUGUUGAUUCACCUUUUGUAGUCAGUUUCGCUUGUGAGAGUGUUGAUUUUCGACAAAAUUACAAUUAACUUCAAGGUGUCGCUCAGCAAUUAUGCCUUGUCUAAACUUUUGGAGAUCAAAAGUUAAGAUGAUGACAAAAUAUCGUAAAAUCAGAAAUUAAAAAAGAAAAAAAUAUGUAGUUGGUGCUACAUGCUUUUUAUUACAUGAUUGUAUAAUGUUUCAGUUAAUCAACCUGUCCCAUCGUAUGCUCUUGCAAACCUUUCAAUAUUAACCCUCAGCCUUGUUUGGUUCGAAGAAACUCAAAACUGCAUAUAACAAUAACUCAGAUUAACAAAAAGCUAAAGUAAGAAAUUGUAUACUUCCCUGUAAUAGCGCGUACUCAAACGAAACGUUAUAUUUU
RNAcentral lists this long non-coding RNA (595 nucleotides) under Mytilus galloprovincialis (Mediterranean mussel). The record is from RNAcentral. Lineage: Eukaryota; Metazoa; Mollusca; Bivalvia; Mytilida; Mytilidae.